AGGGAGGGAGGGAGGGAGGGAAAAAUUGAAAUAGAUAGAAGGAGGAUGGAAAAAAAAAAGAGGGGGAAAAAUGGAAAGACACAAACAAGAGUUAAGAGGAGUACACAGACUGAUCCCUUAGGAAGAGGGGCAGGCCAUCAGGAUGGGGCUAGGAGAUCAACAGUAUGGAGAGCAGAAGACCAGCAUAGACCAGAUUGGGGGUGAGGGCCUACAGCUGCAGCUGGAGUUAUGUUCAUCAACAUGGCUCACAGCACAGCUGCAGAGCCAAGCCGACACCUCGAAAUAUGAUGUGAAGCGAAUAUAAAAACAGAGAAACCAUCGAAACAAAUGUGUGCUUGUUUUGGCUCAAAGGGGAAAGUUAAUCUGCGGAAAGGAAAGGAGAAGAGACGUCUCCCAAGCCAGCGAGGUCGAUCCAUCUGACUGACAGUCCGAACCAAGCGCUCCCUCUACAGAGCCUCUCUGUGUCUCCUGAGAUGGAGCAGCGACUUAACUCAGGCCAACGUGGUGAAUGAAUCAGGAUCAAGGCACAAAAUAAAAAAGGCCUUCCAUCAUUUCCCCAGAAGCCCGAAUCAGUCCUGCUUCCAUGGAAUGCCCCGGAGGACGACUCAACCAUGUCUGACUGCUUCUUCCUCUAACGUUUCUCAGAGGCAAUCUCUCACGACAAGAAGAAAUGCAUCCUCUCGAAGGGAAAGUCCUUUCAGAUGUUUCCGAUAAAGCCACAGAAGCUCUUUAUUCCUACCAGUAGCAGUAGACCUGGUGGAGGCACAGUUGAGUGAGGCUGUGCCUCCACUGUGCCUCCACUGUGCCUCCACUGUGACUCCACUGUGCCUCCACUGUGCCUCCACUGUGCCCUGUCCUUGUGAGUUGGGAAGGACUUUGCCUCACUGGCCCUGGAUUAUCUUCUACUGAUAACCUCUGCUUUGCAAAAUUAGUUUAUGCAAAACUUGACAUGCAAAUCCUGAGAUGAAUAGACGCGCAUGGCUUGCCGGCUAACCACACUAACUGUCCAUUGUUUGUUUAUAGAUAGCGUGCUGUGAGCAAGAUGUUAUGAGCAAAGCAUUUAUAGCUUGACUACUAUCAUCACUUCAAAAACGGAAAAUCAUUUUCGACAAAAUUCUUAAAAUAUAAAAAGUAAAGGUUGGUGUGCAACAGAAUAUUUGUUCUUCUAAGUAAUUAUGACUUCCCGCUAUCCGUGCGUUAUCUUACCAUUUUAACGAUCUAAAUAGGGGCUUAAACAUAGUGAAAUAUUCAGACAUGCUUUCAUUUUACAGAACAGGAAAUAGCGGAUAAUUCCACGUCAGAUUGACCCAGGGUGGCAGUACAACUGCAUGAACCAGCAGAACUCUACUGCAGCAACACAAAUAAAGAUUUAUCAGAUAAACUGAGAUUAUUAUGAUUUUUGCUCAAACGAAUGAACAUACAAUUUCAACUUGACAAUUAAUGUGUCAAUUAACAGAAUUAAAAAAAUCUUACCAAAGUAAACCUCCUUAUCGCAUUUUGGGCACUUGGGCAUUUUUGCAAAAUUAAGUGAUGAUCUCCAAGAG
This is a long non-coding RNA of Hypomesus transpacificus, 1544 nucleotides long. RefSeq lists it as uncharacterized. The transcript is spliced from 2 exons. NCBI's taxonomy places the organism in Eukaryota, Metazoa, Chordata, Actinopteri, Osmeriformes, Osmeridae. The record is from RefSeq and is a predicted model, not a curated record.